Long non-coding RNA from Leopardus geoffroyi (Geoffroy's cat), 1196 nucleotides. RefSeq lists it as uncharacterized. The transcript has 3 exons. The record is from RefSeq and is a predicted model, not a curated record. Lineage: Eukaryota; Metazoa; Chordata; Mammalia; Carnivora; Felidae.
CCAGAAUCCAGGCCCUCUGGGUUUUCCUUUCCUCCAGUGUUUGACUGAACCCCUCCUGGAGCCCCAGUGGGCAAGUGCGUGGCAUCUGUGUCCACAUAAUUCGUGGCACCUUGGGCUGGAAUGUCUGCCUGUUGUGCCACAUCUAGAUCGUUUAGGGUGAGGGUGAGAGUUGAGCCCUCCCUUUCCCCCAACACACACAUGUACACACACACACACGCAAAGACACAAACAUCCACCUACUCUCACCUCCCCCCACCGCCUCCCCCGGGUUGAGUCGGGCUAAGAGAGAAGACAGGACAUUUUUAUCUGUAUUUAAUCACCACAUUCUCUCCCACAAUUACUCUGUAGGAUUCUUCCCAUGUAUGUGGACCAACUGCUCCACGUUGAAAGAGUUUGAGGCAGCAAUAUCUCUGACGGCUUUCGUAGGUUAUUUGUUUGCAUCUCAGACUCCUCUCCUAAAUCCUGCUAGGGCACACGUCCCCCCAGCUCCACCCAGGUUAUGAAUGUCAUUGCUGAGCUCUGCGUAACGAGGUUUGAGUUCAGUUUGUCUGGCAACACUUCUGGAUGUAAUCUGUUCCGUGCAAUGAGUCACCAAGGUCAGCAUCUCCCCACGAGGGAGGUUUCUGUGUGGGUCUGGCUUGUUCUCCCGACCAGCCUCUAUCACUUCUGAGUGCUGUGAGCUUGGAAUUACUGUGACACCUGCCCCUUGGCCCUCCAGCUACUUGGACAUACUUUGGCCUGUCUAUCAGGACUCGUUUUGAAAAGCAAGUGGGAUAUUAUAGUAAAACGUCUGAUACAGCUUUUCUCACCUGCAGCUGUGACCCACUGGUGACAUAAAUUUGAUGGGUUGUGACCAGCGUUAAAAAAAUAACUGUUGCUGACAUUGAGUCUUCAGUGAAUAGGAGCAUCAUCACCUCUCAGUGGAAGAAGCAGGCGAGAGAGAGAGAGAGAGAGAGAGAGAGAAGAGAAUGUUUUUAGAAUAUGGGUCUUGGCCAGAUAAUAGAACGGAUGCUCCAAGGCGUCUGUCUCUAUUCUGACUCAUGCGUUGGCUGUGAGCUUGAGGAAGUCAUGACAUUCUCUAUAGAAGGGAACUGGAGCGAUCCCUCAACUCAGCGCAGAUAACAUUCUGAUAACAGGAGCUUCAAGAUCACUGGAAACAAAGCACUGCUGUUCCCUUGUGCCGUCUGGCCCUUGCA